Molecule: ribosomal RNA, 626 nt
Filed under: Silene aprica
Lineage: Eukaryota; Viridiplantae; Streptophyta; Magnoliopsida; Caryophyllales; Caryophyllaceae
Description: eukaryotic LSU rRNA
Rfam family: 5.8S ribosomal RNA (bases 243-397)
Source: RNAcentral
AACCUGCCCAGCAGAGCGACCCGUGAACACGUACAACCUCAUGGGUGUUGGGGCGUUGCUUGGUGCCUCGUGUGCCUGCUCGCCCCUCUCCCAGGCCGGGGAGCGCCCACUUGUGGGCUGUUCUCCGGCUAAACAACGAACCCCGGCGCGUAAAUGCGUCAAGGAAUAUAAACUUUAUGUGUGUGCUCUCCUAUUGCCCGGUUAGCUGGGCGUUGGAGUGGUGCCAUGUCUUAACAAUAAACGACUCUCGGCAACGGAUAUCUCGGCUCUCGCAUCGAUGAAGAACGUAGCGAAAUGCGAUACUUGGUGUGAAUUGCAGAAUCCCGUGAACCAUCGAGUUUUUGAACGCAAGUUGCGCCCGAAGCCUCCGGCUGAGGGCACGUCUGCCUGGGCGUCACGCAUCGCGUCUCCCCCAUAUUCCACCCUCGGUGGAGGGGAAGGAGGAUGGUUUCCCGUGACUCACCGGUCGCGGCUGGCCUAAAAUUGGAGCCCACGGCAUCGGGAUGCCGCGGCGAUAGGUGGUGAACAAGGCCUCGGCCAAGCAAGCAACCCGUCGCGCAUGUCGUGCCAAUGCGGGCUCGAAGGACCCUUUGUUGUUGUCUUUAAGGCAACCAAACCGUUGCGAC